CUCAGGGAGGUAGUGACAAGAAAUAACAACACUGGAAAUUUUAUUUCUAGUGAUUGGAAUGAUGGGAAUUUAAACCCCUUUCAGAGUAACAAUUGGAGGGCAAGUCUGGUGCCAGCAGCCGCGGUAAUUCCAGCUCCAAUAGCGUAUAUUAAAGUUGUUGCAGUUAAAAAGCUCGUAGUUGGAUGUCUGCUGGAAGCAAUCAGUCCGCCCUAUUUGUAGGGUGUGCACUUGAUGAAUUCUGGCAUCUAUGUCCUAAUGUGAUAGAUACGGCGGUGUAUAUGGGUUAAUCCUAUAUACCCGUUUUUGUAUAUUAUAUUGGGAUAAUACCGUUACUUUGAGAAAAUUAGAGUGUUUGAAGCAGGCUAAUUGCCUUGAAUACUGCAGCAUGGAAUAACAAUAUAGGAUUUCGGUUCUAUUUUGUUGGUUUCUAGGACUGAAAUAAUGAUUAAUAGGGACAGUUGGGGGCAUUCGUAUUUAACUGUCAGAGGUGAAAUACUUAGAUUUGUUAAAGACGAACUACUGCGAAAGCAUUUGCCAAAGAUGUUUUCAUUAAUCAAGAACGAAAGUUAGGGGCUCGAAGACGAUCAGAUACCGUCGUAGUCUUAACCAUAAACUAUGCCGACUAGAGAUAGGAAAAUGUCAUUUUUCUGACUU
This 654-nucleotide ribosomal RNA is filed under the name Sarcocystis hjorti. RNAcentral's name for it is "SSU rRNA". It matches the Rfam family "Eukaryotic small subunit ribosomal RNA", at positions 455 to 1077 of the family's 1831-position model. The record is from RNAcentral. Lineage: Eukaryota; Apicomplexa; Conoidasida; Eucoccidiorida; Sarcocystidae.